AGAGUUUGAUCCUGGCUCAGGACGAACGCUGGCGGCGUGCCUAAUACAUGCAAGUCGAGCGGACCAACGAGGAGCUUGCUCCUCAGAGGUCAGCGGCGGACGGGUGAGUAACACGUGGGCAACCUGCCUGUAAGACUGGGAUAACUCCGGGAAACCGGGGCUAAUACCGGAUAACAUCUUCCUCUGCAUAGAGGAGGAUUGAAAGAUUGCUUCUCGCUAUCACUUACAGAUGGGCCCGCGGCGCAUUAGCUAGUUGGUGGGGUAAGGGCUCACCAAGGCGACGAUGCGUAGCCGACCUGAGAGGGUGAUCGGCCACACUGGGACUGAGACACGGCCCAGACUCCUACGGGAGGCAGCAGUAGGGAAUCUUCGGCAAUGGACGAAAGUCUGACCGAGCAACGCCGCGUGAGUGAGGAAGGCCUUCGGGUCGUAAAGCUCUGUUGUUAGGGGAGAACAAGUACCGUUCGAACAGGGCGGUACCUUGACGGUACUUAACCAGAAAGCCACGGCUAACUACGUGCCAGCAGCCGCGGUAAUACGUAGGUGGCAAGCGUUGUCCGGAAUUAUUGGGCGUAAAGCGCGCGCAGGCGGUCUCUUAAGUCUGAUGUGAAAGCCCACGGCUCAACCGUGGAGGGUCAUUGGAAACUGGGGGACUUGAGUACUGGAGAGGAGAGUGGAAUUCCAUGUGUAGCGGUGAAAUGCGUAGAUAUAUGGAGGAUCACCAGUGGCGAAGGCGGCUCUCUGGCCAGUAACUGACGCUGAGGCGCGAAAGCGUGGGGAGCAAACAGGAUUAGAUACCCUGGUAGUCCACGCCGUAAACGAUGAGUGCUAGGUGUUGGGGGGUUCCACCCUCAGUGCUGACGUUAACACAUUAAGCACUCCGCCUGGGGAGU
RNAcentral lists this ribosomal RNA (893 nucleotides) under uncultured bacterium. Its description in RNAcentral is "bacterial SSU rRNA". It matches the Rfam family "Bacterial small subunit ribosomal RNA", at positions 8 to 881 of the family's 1533-position model. The record is from RNAcentral.